Molecule: long non-coding RNA, 2456 nt
Filed under: Lathyrus oleraceus (garden pea)
Lineage: Eukaryota; Viridiplantae; Streptophyta; Magnoliopsida; Fabales; Fabaceae
Description: Pisum sativum (pea) long non-coding RNA (PSAT_LNC038024)
Source: RNAcentral
GCUUGCAAGAAAUACCCGUUAUCUAACCAAUUGCUUCGCCAAGAUCAUUAAAGUAUAACUAUAAUAUUAAAAACACAGCUCGCUUUAUUCCAAUGGUAAAUAUAUUUUUUAUAAAUUUAUUUGUGACUUAAAAUAAUUUGAGAGAUUUAUAUUGAAUGAUUCUUCAACGAUUACAGAAGGAUUAUAAAAUCUAUAUUGAACAAAAUCCCCUAAAAUAUAGUUAAAAACAAAAAUUAAAAAAAACACGAGAACAUAUAUAUCCGUUAUCCUAUAUUAAAAUAAAAUCACAAACCUUGCAAAAACAUAAUAUAAAACAAAAAAUUAAGCAUAUUUACAUUAUGCCAUAAUGUAAAAUCAUUAUUUUUCCAUAUAUUUUCGAAAAACAUACCAAAUAAGAAAUAGAAAAACAUCAAGAAGAUUUUCCACUUUUUAAUGUUUUAAAAACAGAAUACUAAAUUACAUUAGAAUGAAAACUUCUUGACAUAAAAGUCUUACCUCAAACAAAUUUCUUUUUUUAUUAUUUUUUAGACUAAAAUACAGUCCCUUAGACAAAUCAAUUCAAAACAGCCCUUACUCUUCCCUAGCCAAGAUAAAAAUGAUAAAACUCAUACCAUUGCGCGAUCCAGCUUAAUUCCUGAAUGCAAUUUGACACCGGUACGAAAAUGUCCAACUCAAGAUGAUAAUCUACGGACAAGAUAGAAGCUAAACCUUGCACAAACCGGCUUUUGACUGAGAAUCCCGCGGUUUGUCGUUCCACACAAAAAACAUUGUCAACAAUAUUGAAUCAAAUUAAGAACGAGAGAAAUCACAUUUAAACUUGUCGAGAAGCUUCAACAAGAAAAUCAAUAAUUAAAUUAAGGUUCCCAAGACAAACACCUGGCUGCACCACUACCCCAAACCUCUUAUAGAAGGUUCUUAGAAAAUUGUACCUUUUCAAACUGACUAAAAAAUUUGCAGCUCCUUUUCUUCAAUUGUGGCAUCUUCCAAUCCAUUGAUUUCCUCCAAAAGUCCAAUAUUAGGACGCCUUACAUAGCUUGCAAGAAAAAACCGUUAUCUAAACCAAUUUGCUUCGCCAAUAUUAAAUACUAGACUAUAUUAAAAAAUAAGCUUUACCAAUUUAAUAUAUUUUUAUAAAUUUUACUUUUGAUUAAAAAUAAUUAAUUGAGUAGCAGUUUCUAUUUAAAGUGAUUUUUUAUUACGAUUAAAAAUAUAAAAAGUAUUUAUUAAGGAAAAAAACAAACAUUAAAUAUUAAAAAAACAUUAAAAAAAACACAGAACCAUUUUAAUUAUCGUUAUUGCUAUAUGUAAAAAAAAAAUCACCAAACUUUGGCAAAACAGAAACAUAUAAAACAAAAAUUUAACAUAUUUACAUUAAUGCCAUUAAUGAAAAAUAAUUAUUUUCCAUAUAUUUUCAAAACACCAAAUAGAAAAGAAAAACAUCAAAAAGAUGUUUUCACUUUUUAAUUUUUCAAAACAUAAUACUAAAAUUAAUUAUGAAAACUCUAUGAUAUAAAAGUCUUAUCAAACAAAUUUUUUAUUUUAUAAUUUUUUAGAACUAAAAUACAAUUCUUAGAAAUCAAUUCAAACAGGCCCUUACUCUCCCUACCAAGAUAAAAUGGAUAAACUAUACCAUGCGAUCCACUUAAUUUUCUGACAAGUUUGAAGGUAUGAUAUGUCCACCUCAAGAAGAUAAUCUACGGACAAGAUAGAAGCUAACCUUGCACAAACCGUUUUGACUGAGAAUCCCGCGGUGUCGUUCCACCAAAAAAAAAUGUCAACAACAUUCGGAAUCAAAUUAAGAAUGAGAAGAAGAUCAUUUAAAUCUGUCUGAGAAGCUUCCACAAGAAAAUCAUAAUUAAAUUGAGGUUCCAAGACCAAACACCAUGGCACCACUACCCCAAAUCCUCUAUAGAAGGUCUAGAAAAUUGUAUCUUUUCAAACUGACUAGAAAAUUGCAGCUUCAAUUGGGCACUUCCAAUCCAUUGAUUUCUCCAAAAGUCAAUAUAGGAACCCUUACAUAGCUUGCAAGAAAACCCAUUACCUAACCAAUUUGCUUCGCCACCCCUAAUACCUAAAGAGACCCUUAGAUACUCAAAUAAAAGAGUUUAAAUAAAUAAUGCCAAAUAAAAGAUAUAAUAGUUUUAAUGAGUCAUCAAAUAUAGACUAUAUUAAAAAAAUAAACUUUACCAAUUUAAAUAUAUUUUUAUAAAUUUACUUCUGAUUAAAAAUAAUUAAUUGAGAGAGUUCUAUAUUAAAGUGGAUUUUUUAUACGAUUAAAAAUAGAUAAAAAGUAUGAUACAGGAAAAAAAAACAUAAAUAUAUUAAAACAAAAUUAAAAAAAACACAGAACAUUAUUAUCGUUAUGCUAUAUUAAAAAAAAUCACAAACUUGCAAAAACAAAAUAUAAAACAAAAAUUUAACAUAUUUACAUUAAUGCCAUUAAUGAAAAAUCAUUN